GAAAGCGCGAAUUGUCUCCCGCAGACGGGGGGGCGCGGGGUGGGCGAAAUCGAAUCCACCAGGUGUCCGCGUGCCCAGGUUCGGCGGGCUGGGGACCGCACGCCAACUCGAACCCCCCGCCCACCACGCGCCGAGAUCCGAACCGCGCCCCCGCCCCCGCCCUCGUCAAGCGCGCGACUCCGCAGUCCCCACGGCCCACGGGCGCGCACAUGCGGCCUCCUUCGUACGCAGGUGCAGGCGUGCCGUCCGGCUGGUGGGGUGGUUUCGUCGUCGAGCGCGCAGGCUUCCUCUCAAAGGUGCCCGACGUCUUACAAGCUACCAAACAACGGCGCUGGAAGACGAGGGGUUCAGGGAAGAGAAUAAGGCAUGCUGUUAGACUGGAGGACAUGCGGCGGUCCAAUUUCGGGAGAGUCAGCCAUCAAACUAUUUAAGCAACAUGGUAAGACCGGCGGUGAGGGUGUGGGCUUACAUAGACUUCGUUGUUUUUUUGGUUCGAGUUAAAUCUUUUAAUUCGGCAAAAGAUUUGGUUUUGGCUUACCUACCAUUCAUCUUCCUCUAGAGUUUAGAUCGUGCCGAGACUAGGUUGGAGUUUGUUCGAGACUGAAUAUGGACUUUGGGUUCCAUAUAUUGGAACUAUGUUUCUUUCUAUUUUCUAUCCAUCUGGUCGGGUACUCUUUUACCUUAGAAAAUUAUACAUAUACCUCAUGGAGAAUUAGAAGAGCCCAUCACCAAACAAUGCACAUCUAUUCAAAACCAUUAUGUAUAUUGUUUGAUGAACUUUUGAAUACUAAAUAAUUCAUUACCC
This is a long non-coding RNA of Oryza brachyantha (malo sina), 805 nucleotides long. RefSeq lists it as uncharacterized. The record is from RefSeq and is a predicted model, not a curated record. Lineage: Eukaryota; Viridiplantae; Streptophyta; Magnoliopsida; Poales; Poaceae. The transcript has 3 exons.